Molecule: ribosomal RNA, 1542 nt
Filed under: Klebsiella pneumoniae 30660/NJST258_1
Lineage: Bacteria; Pseudomonadati; Pseudomonadota; Gammaproteobacteria; Enterobacterales; Enterobacteriaceae
Also listed under: 1 other name
Description: bacterial SSU rRNA
Rfam family: Bacterial small subunit ribosomal RNA
Source: RNAcentral
AAAUUGAAGAGUUUGAUCAUGGCUCAGAUUGAACGCUGGCGGCAGGCCUAACACAUGCAAGUCGAGCGGUAGCACAGAGAGCUUGCUCUCGGGUGACGAGCGGCGGACGGGUGAGUAAUGUCUGGGAAACUGCCUGAUGGAGGGGGAUAACUACUGGAAACGGUAGCUAAUACCGCAUAACGUCGCAAGACCAAAGUGGGGGACCUUCGGGCCUCAUGCCAUCAGAUGUGCCCAGAUGGGAUUAGCUAGUAGGUGGGGUAACGGCUCACCUAGGCGACGAUCCCUAGCUGGUCUGAGAGGAUGACCAGCCACACUGGAACUGAGACACGGUCCAGACUCCUACGGGAGGCAGCAGUGGGGAAUAUUGCACAAUGGGCGCAAGCCUGAUGCAGCCAUGCCGCGUGUGUGAAGAAGGCCUUCGGGUUGUAAAGCACUUUCAGCGGGGAGGAAGGCGUUAAGGUUAAUAACCUUGGCGAUUGACGUUACCCGCAGAAGAAGCACCGGCUAACUCCGUGCCAGCAGCCGCGGUAAUACGGAGGGUGCAAGCGUUAAUCGGAAUUACUGGGCGUAAAGCGCACGCAGGCGGUCUGUCAAGUCGGAUGUGAAAUCCCCGGGCUCAACCUGGGAACUGCAUUCGAAACUGGCAGGCUAGAGUCUUGUAGAGGGGGGUAGAAUUCCAGGUGUAGCGGUGAAAUGCGUAGAGAUCUGGAGGAAUACCGGUGGCGAAGGCGGCCCCCUGGACAAAGACUGACGCUCAGGUGCGAAAGCGUGGGGAGCAAACAGGAUUAGAUACCCUGGUAGUCCACGCCGUAAACGAUGUCGAUUUGGAGGUUGUGCCCUUGAGGCGUGGCUUCCGGAGCUAACGCGUUAAAUCGACCGCCUGGGGAGUACGGCCGCAAGGUUAAAACUCAAAUGAAUUGACGGGGGCCCGCACAAGCGGUGGAGCAUGUGGUUUAAUUCGAUGCAACGCGAAGAACCUUACCUGGUCUUGACAUCCACAGAACUUUCCAGAGAUGGAUUGGUGCCUUCGGGAACUGUGAGACAGGUGCUGCAUGGCUGUCGUCAGCUCGUGUUGUGAAAUGUUGGGUUAAGUCCCGCAACGAGCGCAACCCUUAUCCUUUGUUGCCAGCGGUCCGGCCGGGAACUCAAAGGAGACUGCCAGUGAUAAACUGGAGGAAGGUGGGGAUGACGUCAAGUCAUCAUGGCCCUUACGACCAGGGCUACACACGUGCUACAAUGGCAUAUACAAAGAGAAGCGACCUCGCGAGAGCAAGCGGACCUCAUAAAGUAUGUCGUAGUCCGGAUUGGAGUCUGCAACUCGACUCCAUGAAGUCGGAAUCGCUAGUAAUCGUAGAUCAGAAUGCUACGGUGAAUACGUUCCCGGGCCUUGUACACACCGCCCGUCACACCAUGGGAGUGGGUUGCAAAAGAAGUAGGUAGCUUAACCUUCGGGAGGGCGCUUACCACUUUGUGAUUCAUGACUGGGGUGAAGUCGUAACAAGGUAACCGUAGGGGAACCUGCGGUUGGAUCACCUCCUUACC